UACGGGAGGCAGCAGUGGGGAAUAUUGGACAAUGGGGGCAACCCUGAUCCAGCCAUGCCGCGUGAGUGAUGAAGGCCCUAGGGUUGUAAAGCUCUUUUGUGCGGGAAGAUAAUGACGGUACCGCAAGAAUAAGCCCCGGCUAACUUCGUGCCAGCAGCCGCGGU
Molecule: ribosomal RNA, 164 nt
Filed under: uncultured bacterium
Lineage: Bacteria
Description: partial 16S ribosomal RNA
Rfam family: Bacterial small subunit ribosomal RNA
Source: RNAcentral